UAAACGGAUGCGAUGACGAUUGGCUGGU
RNAcentral lists this small RNA (28 nucleotides) under Bombyx mori (domestic silkworm). RNAcentral's name for it is "piRNA piR-bmo-2155905". Lineage: Eukaryota; Metazoa; Arthropoda; Insecta; Lepidoptera; Bombycidae. The record is from RNAcentral.